UACGUGGACAACCCGGCGCGGCCGACCGCGCGGCCGGCUUGUUGUAAUAACUUUACGUGUUUGUAAAACACAGGAAAACUUCCCGUCAGGAUGUUUUCCCCGUAGGGGUUUUGCGGCCAAGCAAAUGGCUUAAAAGAGAUGUAAAAUGUUUUCGUGGGGCUGUAAUCCUGUGGAAGGCUGUUAUGCUGCCCGGCCGUGCGGCGACUUGGUAAUGGUUAGGGCUGCUGAGGACAGGCCUCAACACCACAGCACAAGGUGGAUCAAGCAAACCGCAUGGCCGGUAGCGUGGAACCGCACUAAGUGCGGUUUAAAGAUGCUUAAUGCAUGUUGAAAAUCACAAACUCCCACAAGAAUGAAUUUAGCCUUAAGAAAACAUGGCGUCAAGGUGCUGGAAAAGACCGUUUGUGCUCGCCAAGGGCAAGACGAAUCAGAACAUUGAACAUGGUACUCGUAGAGAGUACUUUUUGAAAAACAAAAAAGAUCGAUAAUUACUGGAGAAUUAAAUUCUAGUACAAAAAAGAUUGACUUAUAAUUCCUUAAAUAUACCUUCACAUAUUUACUACAAUAAUUAAAUUGUGAACACAUUAUUCAUAAUAGAUUUAAAAAUACAUUGACAGAAUAAAAAAAACUUUGUGUUCAAACAUUUAAAUUACACAUAAUUAUAAUUAUUACAAACAAUUUGAUCUUUGUUCAGAAUUAACUUUUAAAUAUUUAAAUGACAUAUAAAUUAUAAAUACCAAUAUUGAAUAAUGAAAACGUGUGGAAACCAGUUCGCCAUUAAAAAAAGAAAAAUAAUAAUAAUUAAAUAAGUUGAGCAAGUGCCACCAACAUUACAAUGGCACAGAAAUAAUCAGGAGCACAUUGAGAAAACCAUUAAAAUAUUGACAAGAAUAAUCAGGAGCACACAGAGGGAACCAUCAUAUUAUUGACAAGAAUAAUCGGGAGGCCACAGAGAAAACCGUUACAUGUUUGCUUUGAUAUCAUAAAAUAUAAAAAAAAUAUAUAUAAAAAGUACAAUUAAUCGAAAAAUUACCAAAGUAGUAUAGAAAAAGGCAAGCUGGGACUGGGUCCUGGGUCCGGUGCUGGGUGCCGAGCCACAUGUCUGAUUAUGACAUCACGGUGGCCAUCUUGGAUUGUGACAUCAUGGCGGCCAUCUUAGAUGACCGUGACCUUGACCUUUGAACUUGACCUUAACCCCGGCGAUCAUUUUGGAUCCACCAUCUUAGAGCCGCCAUCUUGGAUCCGCCAUCUUGGAUCCACCAUCUUUAAAUCGAGCGCUCCACUCACUCAUGAUGAAAUUUUCGACAUAUUGAUUUUUCUUGGUCCGCUGGAGGCCACCAUCUCGGAUACCGUUACUUUGUUUCUGCUGUUUGUUCCUAGAGAGCGCCAGCAUCACUCUUGAUUUUUUUUUUUUCUGUUCCACUGGAGGCUGUCAUCUUUGAUACCGUUGACUUUGUUUCUGCUGAUUGUUCCUAGAGAGCGCCAGCGUCGCUCUGUCUUACACAUAAUGUCGAUGUUCCAUUACCUAACACAGCUAUUAUGGACCUUAUCGACAUAUUAAAUUUAAUUUUUUAUGCAAAAUACAUUGGAAGCGCUGUGGUUCGAACCAGCGCAGCUCGGACCUCUAUGUUGAAAAACAUACACCUUUAACAGCAUGGCUAUCGAGACACUUUGCCGACUGAGAAUUAAAUAAGGUAUAUAUAAAAAUAACAUGCAUAUUAGGACUUAUAAUUUUGUUUAAUUUGAAGUAAUAAAAUCAUCGAAUGUUCGAGACAGAACCACCAUCUUGUAUUAAGAUGUUACUGUUGCAAUUAAUGUUACAGUCACCAUCUUGAAAAUCUGUAAUUUCAAUGCUUGAAAUUCCAAAAAGAAUACCAAAAAAAUUGCCUACUUCAAAUGUUUAGUUAUUUAAACGAUUUCGGUCAUCGGUUCCAUUUCCGGCGAGAGUAAACCAGUAAUUUUUUAUUAUAUUUAAAAAAUUCUCAAUAAAAAGUAAUAAAAAUGUCUUACAUCACAUGCGACAUUCUGAAUUAUGUCACCACUUGUAUCAAUUUUCGUUACGACCGCCAUCGUGAAAAUCUUUAUUUAUUAUACGAUUUAUUUUAAUGAAAAAAUUAAAAAAUAUAUCAAAAAUUUACUUAUUAUAAUACUGAUUGAUUAGAUCGAAUCCUGUCCUUGGUUCGAAACCGGUAAGAGCAAAAAUUAUAAAAACGACAGAUCCUUCCUCCACAGAAGCAACCUAUCUUUGACCUUAACCUUGAAAUUUGACCUUGACCUUGAACUUUGACCUAGACCUUGAACUCUGACCUUGACCUUGAACUUUGACCUUGACCUUGAAAUUUUGACAUUGACUUUGACGACCAUCAUGGAUCCAACAUUUUAUGUUCAGUACAUGCUACCAGGAGCUACUGCCUGCUAGUGGUCAUUGCCACCAUCUUGUUUACGUCUGCUGGAGGACACCAUAUUGUGUGUGUACUCGCCUUACUAUCAUUGCCAUCAUGCUAGGUUAAUUCUAAUCCGCUAGAGUGAGGUAAUCAUUUAUUAUUACUGAGGUGCCCGCCAUCUUGAAAUUUGGGCAUUAUCUUGGAUUCGUGUAAUUAUUUAGCAAGAAAUUCGGAAAAAAUCCAAAAUUCAUUAAAUAAUUCACUAAUUAAUUUACAUAAUGAAACGAUGGAUUCCUGUAUUAGGUUUGAUUAUUGACCAGUGACAGGUGUACCUAAAUAUUAAAUAUAUUUAAUAUUUUAUUUUCCAUUGCCUUUCGUUUAAGGUGAAAAUUUAUAUUUCGAAAUUUAAUUUAGCAAAGUAAAUGAUAUUGGUACCAAUAAUAAACAUAAACCUAAAAACUACGAACCAAAAUUUUAAAUUUUUCGAAGUUUUUAUCACGCUAAGUAAUAAUGACUUAAAAUGCGCGUACAUAUUAGGUGAUUCAAUAUUUCUUUUCAUUCACUUAUACAGUAGAAUGUGGAAUCUGUUACUUUUGAACGAUGAGCAAUACUUGCAAUGACCACAAGCACAACUUUUAAGCGAGGUGGAGCAGAAAACCGAGUACGUGCUACGACCUAAAAACACCCCGCACGCGGAAGCUGUUAUCUGCGGAGCCGGCCGUAGCAGGCGGCGAGGUAAAAACACUGCUCCGCGGCGCAAACACAAGAACGCCCGCUGAACGGACCGCGCAGAGACGUGGAGGAGCAGUUGGCGGCGCCGGACCCGGACCGGCGAGGCUGCGUCCAAUUAGCGAGGCGCGCCCUUAUCUCGGCGAUAGCGAUCCUCGCUGUGCCGCGGCAGUGGUGCGGGCGAGGCUGAUCGCGCGCAGAUAAGCCCGCGCCGCGCUGAGCCAGCAGCCGAGCCAGCCAGUCAGCGCUCACGGAGCGCGCUUCUUAUUUCAGGCUUUUCAACGAACUUUGGUUCAUAAACUUUCUGAACGAAACUAGUUACGAGCCGAGUACAUAUUUUGUUUUGAAAACAAUAUGGUGACAGGUAAUAAAUUUUCAAUGAAAAAUAAUUUAAUUAUAUUAUUAGGUAUGCUUCACAGAAUUGCAAGCGUUCGCUUGGAUAGUAAUUGUUUAGUUAGAUACUUAGUUUUUUAAGAAAUUCCGCUAAUAAGGAGUAAUCAUCACUGGAGCAACUUUUUAUAUUUUUUUUCUCUCAGACUGAGUUUAUGUGAAUUAAAAUUAAAGGAAAUACAAAAAUUUACCGAUAAUUAUUAUGAAAAAGCGUAAGUUUUAUAAUGUAAAAUAAUCAGUUUAAAAAAUUCACAAAAUAAAUACAAAAUAGAGCAAUUAUUAAUCAAAAAAUGUAAUAAAUUAAUAAUUUAAACAAAUUCAGUUAAAUAAAUUCAAGUUAUAUAUUUUCAUAUAAAUCGGAUUCUUUUGAUGUACUAUCAUGACAAAUACUGUUUUCUGGUUGUCUUCCGAAUCUGCCUCAUCGCUAUUUUUCAAAGAUAUUAAAUCUUUCAAGUCAUGUUUCACCUUCUCAGUUAAUCUUCUAAUGUUUUUCUUUGGAAAUGGGCAAGCGAAUGUGACAACGUGGUCUAAAGAAACAAACACUCUUCGAUAUAAAUCAUCAAUAUUUAAUUUUAUAUUUAUUUUUUUCUGGUGGAAAAUUGUAUUUAGUUACGGAUAUCUUUCCUAUUGGCUUCCUGUGUCUCUUUCUGUGUCCAAGAAGCAAAACAACAUUUUAUUUACAAUCAAUGUACAAUGUUCUCAAAUUUUAUUAACAGUUAGGGUCUUUUUUAAUUUCUCUGCCACAGGAUAGUGUGAACAAUAUGUCUGAAAAACGUUUCAUUAAUUUCUGGUCCAAUCAAGUCGCUUUAGAAGCCAUACUUGGAUCAGCGAAAAACCUCCUAACAGUGUUUCUGUCGCUAGUUGAACCGAAACCUUGUUUUGGGCGAUCUGGUUGGGCGAUCUAAUUUCUUAAGUAGACGUUCUCUUUGUUCUCGCACUUUUUGAAAAUUGUUCUUCUCACAAACUUUUUUUUGUAUCUGAAAUAAAUGUAUUUUAUUUAAUUAUAAAAUAUUACAACAUUAAAAAUAAUAAAGCUAUACAAAUAUUUUUCCUAGUCUAUAAAACAUGGCCAAAACAAAUUCCAAAAAUCGUUUAUAAGCAUGUUGUUGCGUUAUUCCAUACUAUAUAUUAAGGUGGCCUCAUCCGUAGAGUUGUUCCGAUUUCACAAUGGCAAACCUGUUGAUGUUUGCGUACAGAUUGGUCACUUAAGCGUAUUGAUUUCUGUUCAGGAAGAAAAAACUGUCAUAUUUAUCAUUGUCAAUUGCAUUUUGAUGUCGAUUUCCACUCCUCAGACUUGAAAUGAUACCAAAUUUCUUAAUUUUAUUUGUUAUAUUUUGCUCCUCUGAAAUGAUCACCUGUUUUGUCUCCUUUAUAAGUCGAAGCUUUGUAGAACGACAAAGCGGAUGGAACUUGAACGGCUAUUUUUCUAAAUAGCACCAUUUUCUCCCAAACGAUUUAUGGGACAAGUAAUGAAUGAAAUACGCUAUCGUCCCUGGAUUCGUCUUCUUCCCAGCCUGGUAUAUAUUCUGAUUGCUUGAGGAGCCAUCAAACCUCCAUUUACAUAACAAAUUAUAUUUUCCUUGAAAUCUUUUACUGACAGUUUCGACAAUCCUGCCAGCAGUGUAGUUCAAUAAAUCCUAAAGUGGAAUUUCGGGAACAGUACUAUAUUUUGGAUAGGCCAGCUGUUUGGCUUCGAUUAGAUUCUUGUAGUUUAGGUAGAUAGUGCGCCUUUAUUAUUCUUAACUGAUUUUAACAACUAUGUGACCUCUUCGUUAAUUUUGCUUUAACGAGAAGAGCUAAUCCUCUUCUAGAGACAAUUAUUUAAAUUUCUAUAUUUUUAUUUUUAUUUUGCGGUAUAAACUCUUAGAAGAACCAGGAAUUUCGCUAGAGUAUAGCUUUACUAAAGCUGAUCCAGCACGAUUGCCCUUCUUUGUAGUCAGCAGGAAAGAGCUCUCGCUUCUUGAGGAGUUGUAAAUCAGUCGGCUUCACCCUUUAUAAUUUUCUUUUUUGUUCACUUUUUAGCUUCUUCGAACACGUUUUUGGACAACCACAUUUCAAUAACCGUAGAUGAAGAAUUCUAGUCUCUUGUCUCACUGACGGUAGAUAUUAUUUAUUCAUCAUUCAACCAUGAUUUAUAUAUUAUUAAAAUCUUGUCUUUGAAAUAUAAGGCAUUUUCCAUUUACUUAUGUUCAAGUAAAAAAUGACAUAACCCUUCUUGUAGGCAUGUUUCAGUUCUUAAAAGAAAUUGAAAAUUUAUUGCUUAUUCUAUUCUAGAGGAAAUUUACAUAACACACAUGUUUAUUAUGAAUUGUCUAGGUAAAUACAUACUUUAUUGACUACCCCUACUCAGUUGAAUCAUUGACAGGUCAGUGUCAAUAUUAAACGUAAAUAUAUUAGUGAUCAUAAAAUAUAUAUGUAAACGGAAAAUUAAAACUUACCGAAAAUGAUACAGUCCACAAGUUUACACACAGCCACUUCACUCUUUCACUACUUAACGAGAACUGAACACUGGAAAUACAAAAACUGCAGAAUUCACCAAGAUUUUCCCAAAGGCGAUCCCCAGGAGGAGGAUAAGGGUUAAAUGGAGGUAAAGGAAGUAUGCCCUCUAGCAUCAGGUAUGUGAGUUCUGAGAUUUUUACAGAAAUGUCCCAUUCAUUACUUUGGCUGUAGGUGGCUGCUGACAAAUAAGGCACAGAUUGUUACCUACAUAUAUAAAUAUAUAUAUACACGCAUAAUAUAAAUAUGUAUAUCUAUAUAUAAACAAUUACCUGGCAACAAUAUCUUUGCAUGAUAAGUUAUUAAUUAAUUUAAAAUCCUUCUCAGUUUUUAAAGCUUUGAGAAUAAAUCUUAUUCAUUUCAAUAGGUAUUGUUACGCAGCAUUUCUUGGGGUACCAUUAUAUAGGGCAUUCUAUUAACUUUUUAAGGUAGUUGAAAUCGUAUUAGUAAAAAAUAUCAUCGCAUUUAAAAUAAAACGUGUAUGUAUUUUGCGCACAUGUACAUCAAAACAAUUUAGUUAUAAAUUACAAUGUUUGAAAAAUCACAAAAGGUUCAAUGCAUCAAUCAAAUUAAAAUCUAAAUUUACCAACAGGUAGUAGACAUACUUUAGACGUAUACAUGAAAUAAUCGAUUAAAAAAAGGUAUUUCUCAUUUUUUGCAGAAUGAUUGCUGGAUCGGUACACCUGUGAGGUGUCUCUUCCUGACACACGUGACAUCCAACAACUUGUAAAAAAGCUAACUUGUAUGUCGGGUGAAAUAAAACCAAUGAAUGUUUUUCAUGCCAUUCUUAAAUUGAUAAUUAAGUGGUGUUUUUACGUUAACCACUUUUAUUAAGCAUGCAAGUUAUAACUUAUUUUGAAUAUAAAAAAAUACAAUUUGGACAUUUUCCACCACUAUCUUCAAGAAAUGUUUAUUGUAGAAGUGUUAAUAAACGCUUGUUUGUCCUUCCAUUUACAUGAAUGGGAUGUAAUGUUUCACUUUAAUCUUAUUACAUCUAACAUCUCUAAGAAACUUAAUUUCCAAGGGACUUUAGCUCCAAAAUUAGUGAAUUUACAUUUUUCCUCAUAUGUAAUUUGGCUGAUAUUUUAAAUUUUCAUAUUUUUUACGUUUGGUCAAUAUUAUUUUUACAAAAAAAGCGCAGUACAAAUACACGAAAGAGUAGCGGGCAUUGGCUUGCCGGGGCCCAGAGCCUAUACAGUUAUGUAGCCCUACUAUUUGGGGAAGUGAGAGAAUGUUGCAUUGAAUUAUUGUAGAAAAAAUUUAAUUUACAACCUAACUCCUCCCCCUUUAGUAGUAUACAAAAGUCUUUCCUGCGCCAGGUGUCAUGCGGUGGAGCCUGGAGACGGUCCGCCAUUUUGGAUUGUGACGUCACAGCAGCCAUAUUGGAUGGCCUUGACCUUGAUCUUCGACGUUUACCUUGAACAUUGACCUACAAAAUUUGUCAAACUUUGCCCAAAUUUUCCAAAUUUCUCCAAAACUCGCCAAAAAUUUCCAGUUUUUAGAAAACAAAUCCGGAAAAAAAUCUUUAAAAAUUUGUUUAUUCGAAAAUUAGGGUUCCGAAAACCUCAAAAUACAUUUUCCAUAGAAAGAACACAAAUUCCUAAAAACGGCUUAAGCAUCCAUGUCUACAGCCUACGAUAAGACGUUUCUAGAAAUUAGGAUGCCAUGACUUCUAUCUUGAAUUAUGACGUCACCAUUGCAAUUUACGUUACGGCCGCCAUUUUAAAAAUAUUAAUUAAUUCUCCGAUUAUAAUAAAAAAUUUCUUAAAUUUCAAUAAAAAAAAAUUAUCACACAUAGUUCAAAAAAUUCCACUUGAUUUGUUUUGGAGCAUAUAUUAAUUUUAAGUAAAAUUUUAUAGAAACAUUUUUGAAGUAAAUAUAUUUAAUGUUCAAUAAAUUUGAAUUUAGGCUAAAUGUGCCAAAUAUUUUAUUUAAAAAACUUUAAAAGAAACCUUCAGUAGCUUUUAAUUUACGCCAAAAACAAACAUGCAAAAUAGUAAAAAAAAAUUUUUUAAAUAAUUUAUUUCUGAUUUUGUUUAAAUGUAUUAUAAUAUUCUAGAUCUGUUUUUCAUUAUUUCAUGCAGUUUUGUAAUUAGUAUAUGUUGUUGUAACCCUUCUUCCUCCUUAAUUGGAAGAGGGGUUGCGUCCCCGACUCACUCUGGGCGCGAAGGGAAAAAACAAAUAUUAAAACCAGGCAUAAAAAGCUAAACAAUAUAAAUUCCCCACACCACUGCCCAGGGGCCAGGCCAAAAACUUCAAAGGAUAUAAUAGCAGAGUAACCAUUAAACAAACAAGAGGCAAGACUUUGGACGUAUGUUAUUAAAAAAUAGAAAUUUGCAAAAAUAGUAUUUACUAUACAUAACCAUACAAGCUUAGUUACAAAAGCUGACGCUAAUAAUGGCAGCAUCUUAUCCCCAUUUGCGAUACUAACAAUAACCUUUAAAACAUCAUAAAAAUAUAAAUACUGAUAACAACAAGUAUAAAAAUAUAUAAGGGCGUGAGGCGUGGCCACUAUAAAAUAUCAAAAUUUACUGACUGCCCUAAUACCAAAAAUCAAACAAGACAAUCAAUACAAAUAUAUAAAAAUUCUACAAUAAUAAAACUGAAGUACAAAAAAUUUAUUUAAAUAAAGUUCUUAAACUCUCAAUCAACAGUUUAGUCUUUCAUUCUGAUGUUCGUUGCUAAAGACUUGCCAAAAAAACAAAGUUAAUAUCCUAGGCGUGCGCUGGCUUCCUGACCUUCCUCACCAACUCCAGAGUCUAAUGCCACGCCGGGCCAUAGGUACGAAUUCACAAAGGCGUGAACGAUGAUCAAAAAAAAAAUUAUCUUAUUUUUAAGGGAAAUGUAGUAAAAACUCUUCACGUAACAUAACUAUGUUACCACAGAAGUAUUUAUCAUCUGCUUCAAACAAAAUCUUACUUCUUUAUUAACUUGCCAAUGAUUUCAUAAAAACGUAGAAUGCCCGCACCAACCAACAUCAGGCUGCGCAUGUAGUCCAAUACAGAUCGCAUACUUUUAAUAAUACUGCACAAACUGAUUAUAUUAGCUAAAGCCAACUUUAAGUAUGCAAAUUCCGAAGACAAAGUCUCAAAAACAAAUUGCAAAAAGUUCGUUUCUUCCAAACUUAUACUUUUAUCACAACUACAGGCAAACGGGCGACCUUUUUUAAAAAAUCCCACCCUGGAACAACGUGUGAAACGAAUGGGCCUCUUCACCAAACAGGCUAAUAAAAGUUCCGUCCAAAUAAAAUUUAGUAUGGGAAAAUACACAGUUCACUAGGUUUGCCAAAAACCAGUGCAGCACCACGAGGGUAAAAAUCAAAAUUGCGGCCUCUCUUUACCUUGAUAAGUGCAGUAUCACAGGGCAAACCAUUGCCCUGUCACCCAGCGUGGAGCCUCCACCCCCAUACUCUUCGUCGCCCGUUGCCGUCCGGCACACCAGUCCGCGCCGUCACAUGGCUCUGUCCUCGACGGUCGCUCGCCACACACUUCGCGCGGCCCCAGCUGAUUUUUCACUCCCGGCAAGCCGAAAGUCUGACGUCAUCAGCCAACCGCCGGGCGCUCGCCAAGUGGUAUUUACGUAAAACACAAUCGAUGUUCUUAAACUCAUAAUCGAUAGCUACCAAACGGCGUAUAACUAAUUAACAGAAACAAAUAUAAUUAAAAAAAAUUUACAGAUAAAUUUACAUUAAUUAAAAAAAGGCGUAAAAAUACGUGAAAUAAAAAACCAUAUAAAACUAGAGACCAGCAACAAAAAUAAAUUACAAGUAAAAAUGUGGCCCUGCCGGCCACAACCUCCGCCUUGAACAAAAAAAAAUUUAAACAGCAAAGAAAAUCUUAAAAAUACUAAAGCGUCAAAAAAAAAACCCUUGGACUUGGAGAAAAAGUGUUCACAAAAACUUAUAAUCCAACAAACCAGCCCAAACUCAAACAAACAAACCAGCAACAAGGAAAACUAGCCUCCAAAGUCCCAGCCAAAAAUUUCAAUGCUCAAAAAAAAAAACAAGAGAAGGAUUUUCCGACAAGAAACGGAAAAGACAAGCUAAACAUCACAAACCCAACAAACGGGAUCUAAGAAUGCCAAAACAAACAAACAAGCUCCAAGGUCAAAUCCGAAACGUAUUAGACAAAACCUUCUCUUUCAAAAAUUAUCAAAAACUAAAGAUCAAAAAAAAAAAAAAAACAAAGUCUGACAACCCGGAGGUUGCAAACUAAAGCAAAAAACUAUAAAAACUAUAACCUCACAGGAAAAAAAUCAAAAUCAUCACUGGUAAUCUAAAAGACCACUAAAAUUCCUGGUGCUGAUCCUGCUCCCGCUUCUUUUUAAAGCAAAAUUUUUCUGAAUGACCAUUUUUGCCACAAAAACCACAAACAAAUUUAUUUACCUCCGAAACCGAGCAAUCCUUAGCAAAAUGCCCUACCUUAUUACACUUAAAACAAGUCUUAUCACUUUUUUUAUUACCCGGCGUUUUAAAACAAACCGGUUUAAAAUUGAUUUUGCCUUUACACUUAUCGAAUUCACUUUUAGCGUAAAAAAAUAUUAUCAACCUGGAUAGCCCAAGUGUUGAGUUCCUCCACACUAUUAGGUCUGCCAAUAAAUGCGCAUACGUGUCUGAUGGCAGGAUUUAGAUUUUCCAAAAUAAUAGCUACAAAACGGUGAUCAUCUAACUGCAGACCAAAUACAUUAACGUGAUUUCUAAUAUCCUGUAUAAAUUCUAAGGUACUUUCAUUUUCCCGUUGAAAAUGGAAAAUCAAUUCCUUAAUUAGAUCGCCCUUCACCCUCUUAGGGCACAAAUAUUCCCACAAAUUCUCUUUCACUACCGACCAUCCAACAGACUUAUAUAUACCUGACGUAAUCACGUCUCUAGCGAUCCCGCUACAUUUAGUCGAAAUACACCUUAACAAUUCUUGCUCGUUUUGUAAACAACAAUUAGUUUUCAAACUAUCUACCCCCAAGCAAAACUUUAUUAAAUCUCUUGGCCCACCGGAGCAUAAAGAUGGCAACCUUUCCAGUUCCUUAAAAAGUAAUUUACUUUGCAUAGCAGUAUUCAAUGAAUUUACUUGGCUGAUCUCCGAAUUCUCCACAUUUUCCUCAACAGGUUUUUUCCUCCCUUCUUUAAUGUGGGUACUUAAUUUCCUGCGUAAGGUAUCAAUGUCAUCCUCCCGACCACUCUCUACUCCCGCUGCUUGCAAAUUAGCGUAAACCUGUUCUUUGGGAAGUUUAUAAAUCCAAGAAACUGCCAUUAUUAAAAAAAUCAAAGAAGUCAGCAAAAUCGCAAAAGUCCAAAGUUUCUGCCAAGCAGAGUGGCGCAGGUUGUAACCCUUCUUCCUCCUUAAUUGGAAGAGGGGUUGCGUCCCCGACUCACUCUGGGCGCGAAGGAAAAAAACAAAUAUUAAAACCAGGCAUAAAAAGCUAAACAAUAUAAAUUCCCCACACCACUGCCCAGGGGUCAGGCCAAAAACUUCAAAGGAUAUAAUAGCAGAGUAACCAUUAAACAAACAAGAGGCAAGACUUUGGACGUAUGUUAUUAAAAAAUAGAAAUUUGCAAAAAUAGUAUUUACUAUACAUAACCAUACAAGCUUAGUUACAAAAGCUGACGCUAAUAAUGGCAGCAUCUUAUCCCCAUUUGCGAUACUAACAAUAACCUUUAAAACAUCAUAAAAAUAUAAAUACUGAUAACAACAAGUAUAAAAAUAUAUAAGGGCGUGAGGCAUGGCCACUAUAAAAUAUCAAAAUUUACUGACUGCCCUAAUACCAAAAAUCAAACAAGACAAUCAAUACAAAUAUAUAAAAA
Long non-coding RNA from Bacillus rossius redtenbacheri, 11793 nucleotides. RefSeq lists it as uncharacterized. Lineage: Eukaryota; Metazoa; Arthropoda; Insecta; Phasmatodea; Bacillidae. The transcript has 2 exons. The record is from RefSeq and is a predicted model, not a curated record.